AUUGAACGCUGGCGGCAGGCCUAACACAUGCAAGUCGAGCGGAUGAAGGGAGCUUGCUCCUGGAUUCAGCGGCGGACGGGUGAGUAAUGCCUAGGAAUCUGCCUGGUAGUGGGGGAUAACGUCCGGAAACGGGCGCUAAUACCGCAUACGUCCUGAGGGAGAAAGUGGGGGAUCUUCGGACCUCACGCUAUCAGAUGAGCCUAGGUCGGAUUAGCUAGUUGGUGGGGUAAAGGCCUACCAAGGCGACGAUCCGUAACUGGUCUGAGAGGACGAUCAGUCACACUGGAACUGAGACACGGUCCAGACUCCUACGGGAGGCAGCAGUGGGGAAUAUUGGACAACGGGCGAAAGCCUGAUCCAGCCAUGCCGCGUGUGUGAAGAAGGUCUUCGGAUUGUAAAGCACUUUAAGUUGGGAGGAAGGGCAGUAAGUUAAUACCUUGCUGUUUUGACGUUACCAACAGAAUAAGCACCGGCUAACUUCGUG
This 484-nucleotide ribosomal RNA is filed under the name uncultured bacterium. RNAcentral's name for it is "partial 16S ribosomal RNA". It matches the Rfam family "Bacterial small subunit ribosomal RNA", at positions 30 to 507 of the family's 1533-position model. The record is from RNAcentral.